GCUCCCAAGGUUGCAUUCCUUUGAGGACCAGUAGCUGAAUGCUGGGUAAUACUUUAAAAUGGAACUUGUAAGCUAAAAUGGAAAAACCUCACCUGAUUAUACAUGGGCAGCUACAGUGAGCCCUAUGAAGAUAAAAGAACUGCAGCACCCCUAGCACAGAUGAAGUUUUUGUCGAAGCAGUGGAAAAUUG
Long non-coding RNA from Corvus hawaiiensis (hawaiian crow), 190 nucleotides. RefSeq lists it as uncharacterized. The transcript has 3 exons. Lineage: Eukaryota; Metazoa; Chordata; Aves; Passeriformes; Corvidae. The record is from RefSeq and is a predicted model, not a curated record.